This 253-nucleotide ribosomal RNA is filed under the name uncultured bacterium. RNAcentral describes it as "partial 16S ribosomal RNA". It matches the Rfam family "Bacterial small subunit ribosomal RNA", at positions 524 to 776 of the family's 1533-position model. The record is from RNAcentral.
UACGUAGGGACCAAGCGUUGUUCGGAUUUACUGGGCGUAAAGGGCGCGUAGGCGGCGUGACAAGUCACUUGUGAAAUCUCUGGGCUUAACCCAGAACGGCCAAGUGAAACUGUUGUGCUAGAGUGCAGAAGGGGCAAUCGGAAUUCUCGGUGUAGCGGUGAAAUGCGUAGAUAUCGAGAGGAACACCUGCGGCGAAGGCGGGUUGCUGGGCUGAUACUGACGCUGAGGCGCGAAAGCCAGGGGAGCGAACGGG